Molecule: ribosomal RNA, 496 nt
Filed under: uncultured bacterium
Lineage: Bacteria
Description: bacterial SSU rRNA
Rfam family: Bacterial small subunit ribosomal RNA
Source: RNAcentral
GGCUCAGGAUGAACGCUAGCUACAGGCUUAACACAUGCAAGUCGAGGGGCAGCAUCAUCAAAGCUUGCUUUGAUGGAUGGCGACCGGCGCACGGGUGAGUAACACGUAUCCAACCUGCCGACAACACUGGGAUAGCCUUUCGAAAGAAAGAUUAAUACCCGAUGGCAUAGUUCUUCCGCAUGGUAGAACUAUUAAAGAACUUCGGUCAUCGAUGGGGAUGCGUUCCAUUAGGUUGUUGGCGGGGUAACGGCCCACCAAGCCUUCGAUGGAUAGGGGUUCUGAGAGGAAGGUCCCCCACAUUGGAACUGAGACACGGUCCAAACUCCUACGGGAGGCAGCAGUGAGGAAUAUUGGUCAAUGGACGAGAGUCUGAACCAGCCAAGUAGCGUGAAGGAUGACUGCCCUAUGGGUUGUAAACUUCUUUUAUACGGGAAUAAAGUGAGGCACGUGUGCCUUUUUGUAUGUACCGUAUGAAUAAGGAUCGGCUAACUCCGUG